GACGAACGCUGGCGGCGUGCUUAACACAUGCAAGUCGAACGGUGAAGCGCCUUCCUUUUUGGUGGGUGUGGAUGAGUGGCGAACGGGUGAGUAACACGUGAGUAACCUGCCCCCUUCUUCUGGAUAACCGCAUGAAAGUGUGGCUAAUACGGGAUAUUCUGGGUCUGUCGCAUGAUGGGUCUGGGAAAGAUAUUGUUUCGGUGGGGGAUGGGCUCGCGGCCUAUCAGCUUGUUGGUGGGGUGAUGGCCUACCAAGGCGGUGACGGGUAGCCGGCCUGAGAGGGUGGACGGUCACACUGGGACUGAGACACGGCCAAGACUGCUACGGGGGGCAGCAGUGGGGAAUAGUGCACAAUGGGCGAAAGCCUGAUGCAGCGACGCCGCGUGAGGGAUGGAGGACUUCGGGUUGUGAACCUCUUUCGCCAGUGAAGCAGGCCUGCCUCGUUUGUGGGUGGGUUGACGGUAGCUGGAUAAGAAGCGCCGGCUAACUACGUG
This 494-nucleotide ribosomal RNA is filed under the name uncultured bacterium. RNAcentral describes it as "partial 16S ribosomal RNA". It matches the Rfam family "Bacterial small subunit ribosomal RNA", at positions 28 to 507 of the family's 1533-position model. The record is from RNAcentral.